UCUCCGUAGGUGAACCUGCGGAAGGAUCAUUAUUGUAUAACCGAGGUGCGAGGGCUGUCGCUGACCCGAAAGGUCGUGCACGCCCGAGUGCCCUCACACACAUCCAUCUCACCCCUAUGUGCACCACCGCGCGGGUCCCCCUUUGGCUUGUUCGGAGGGGGGCUUACGUUUUCACACAAACUUUGUAUGCAGUAUAGAAUGUAUUUUUUGUUUUUGCGAUCACGCAAUCAAUACAACUUUCAACAACGGAUCUCUUGGCUCUC
Molecule: unclassified non-coding RNA, 263 nt
Filed under: plant metagenome
Description: partial contains small subunit ribosomal RNA, internal transcribed spacer 1, and 5.8S ribosomal RNA
Source: RNAcentral